AUAUCCUUAUGCGGUGAUGGCCCCGCGCAAGCGGGUGAAAAGGGAAUGCCGUGCGCCCCGGCUGGAUGCCGUUCCGGGGGCAAGUCGGCGGCUGCCCCCGCAACUGUAAGCGGUGAGCCGUCGGUCCAUCUGCCGCGCUGCCGGUCCCGGCGCGCGGCAGGCCACUGAACCGUCCGCGGUUCGGGAAGGUGGGGCCGGCGGCCGCGACCCGCGAGCCAGGAGACCUGCCAUCGGCACCGAACCAAC
Molecule: non-coding RNA, 246 nt
Filed under: Rhodospirillales bacterium
Lineage: Bacteria; Pseudomonadati; Pseudomonadota; Alphaproteobacteria; Rhodospirillales
Source: RNAcentral